This 199-nucleotide long non-coding RNA is filed under the name Manihot esculenta (cassava). RNAcentral describes it as "long non-coding RNA (MESC_LNC011788)". The record is from RNAcentral. Lineage: Eukaryota; Viridiplantae; Streptophyta; Magnoliopsida; Malpighiales; Euphorbiaceae.
GGGCACCGACAGAGGGAUUUUUGAUGUCAUGUCCAUCCUCUGAGAGGAAAGAUGCAUGCAAAAAGACAGACUCUCAGAAACCAGGGUCCGUGGGGAAUAAAUAUUGCAUAAGCCCCGAGGCGGACAAGAUUAUGUGAUUUCUCUGUGUUAUGAUGCAUUUCAUGAAAGCAUGUAAUUAAUGAAUUGUUUUCUAUGUUUC